This 1285-nucleotide ribosomal RNA is filed under the name metagenome. RNAcentral's name for it is "bacterial SSU rRNA". It matches the Rfam family "Bacterial small subunit ribosomal RNA", at positions 242 to 1520 of the family's 1533-position model. The record is from RNAcentral.
UAGCUAGUUGGUGAGGUAACGGCUUACCAAGGCGACGAUCUGUAGCGGGUCUGAGAGGAUGAUCCGCCACACUGGAACUGAGACACGGUCCAGACUCCUACGGGGCAGCAGUGGGGAAUUUUGGACAAUGGGGGCAACCCUGAUCCAGCCAUGCCGCGUGAGUGAAGAAGGCCUUCGGGUUGUAAAGCUCUUUCGGCCGGGAAGAAAUCGCAUGGGCCAAUACCCUGUGUGGAUGACGGUACCGGAAUAAGAAGCACCGGCUAACUACGUGCCAGCAGCCGCGGUAAUACGUAGGGUGCGAGCGUUAAUCGGAAUUACUGGGCGUAAAGCGUGCGCAGGCGGUUUUGUAAGACAGGCGUGAAAUCCCCGGGCUCAACCUGGGAACUGCGUUUGUGACUGCAAGGCUAGAGUACGGCAGAGGGGGGUGGAAUUCCACGUGUAGCAGUGAAAUGCGUAGAGAUGUGGAGGAACACCAAUGGCGAAGGCAGCCCCCUGGGUCGAUACUGACGCUCAUGCACGAAAGCGUGGGUAGCAAACAGGAUUAGAUACCCUGGUAGUCCACGCCCUAAACUAUGUCAACUAGGUGUUGGGUGGGUAAAACCAUUUAGUACCGUAGCUAACGCGUGAAGUUGACCGCCUGGGGAGUACGGCCGCAAGGUUAAAACUCAAAGGAAUUGACGGGGACCCGCACAAGCGGUGGAUGAUGUGGAUUAAUUCGAUGCAACGCGAAAAACCUUACCUACCCUUGACAUGCCAGGAACUUGCCAGAGAUGGCUUGGUGCCCGAAAGGGAGCCUGGACACAGGUGCUGCAUGGCUGUCGUCAGCUCGUGUCGUGAGAUGUUGGGUUAAGUCCCGCAACGAGCGCAACCCUUGUCGUUAAUUGCCAUCAUUUAGUUGGGCACUUUAGCGAGACUGCCGGUGACAAACCGGAGGAAGGUGGGGAUGACGUCAAGUCCUCAUGGCCCUUAUGGGUAGGGCUUCACACGUCAUACAAUGGUCGGUACAGAGGGUCGCCAAGCCGCGAGGUGGAGCCAAUCCCAGAAAGCCGAUCGUAGUCCGGAUUGCAGGCUGCAACUCGCCUGCAUGAAGUCGGAAUCGCUAGUAAUCGUGGAUCAGCAUGUCACGGUGAAUACGUUCCCGGGUCUUGUACACACCGCCCGUCACACCAUGGGAGCGGGUUCCGCCAGAAGUAGGUAGCCUAACCGCAAGGAGGGCGCUUACCACGGCGGGGUUCGUGACUGGGGUGAAGUCGAAACAAGGUAGCCGUAGGGGAACCUGCGGCUG